Molecule: long non-coding RNA, 233 nt
Filed under: Gossypium raimondii (Peruvian cotton)
Lineage: Eukaryota; Viridiplantae; Streptophyta; Magnoliopsida; Malvales; Malvaceae
Description: long non-coding RNA (GRAI_LNC011017)
Source: RNAcentral
UCAAAUUUCUUGGACAUAUAUAUAUAAAGGCGGCAUCAAGAGGGGCUAUCAAGGAUUAAGGUCUCCUUAAAAUGGAAAAAUAUUACAUUAGCUCGUUUAUAUUUUAUAAAAUUAUAAAUGAGAGUCAAAUUGCAAUUUAUCCUCUCAAAAAGAUAGAAUUUUAACUUAAUACAAUUAUGAAAUUGCAUAACAUCAAAAAAAACACAUAACUUAAUUCUCCCCCUACCCCCACA